This 242-nucleotide ribosomal RNA is filed under the name uncultured bacterium. RNAcentral describes it as "partial 16S ribosomal RNA". It matches the Rfam family "Bacterial small subunit ribosomal RNA", at positions 91 to 334 of the family's 1533-position model. The record is from RNAcentral.
ACGACCGGCGCACGGGUGAGUAACGCGUAUGCAACCUACCUACUACAGGGGGAUAGCCCGAAGAAAUUCGGAUUAACACCGCAUAAUACUAUUUUUUCGCAUGGAAUGAUAGUUAAAAAUUAUUGGUAGUAGAUGGGCAUGCGUUCCAUUAGCCAGUUGGUGAGGUAACGGCUCACCAAAGCAACGAUGGAUAGGGGAACUGAGAGGUUUAUCCCCCACACUGGUACUGAGACACGGACCAG